Molecule: ribosomal RNA, 419 nt
Filed under: uncultured bacterium
Lineage: Bacteria
Description: bacterial SSU rRNA
Rfam family: Bacterial small subunit ribosomal RNA
Source: RNAcentral
GACGAACGCUGGCGGCGUGCCUAAUACAUGCAAGUUGAGCGAUGAAGAUUGGUGCUUGCACCAAUUUGAAGAGCAGCGAACGGGUGAGUAACGCGUGGGGAAUCUGCCUUUGAGCGGGGGACAACAUUUGGAAACGAAUGCUAAUACCGCAUAACAACUUUAAACAUAAGUUUAAGUUUGAAAGAUGCAAUUGCAUCACUCAAAGAUGAUCCCGCGUUGUAUUAGCUAGUUGGUGAGGUAAAGGCUCACCAAGGCGAUGAUACAUAGCCGACCUGAGAGGGUGAUCGGCCACAUUGGGGACUGAGACACGGGCCCAAACUCCUACGGGAGGCAAGCAGUAGGGAAUCUUCGGCAAUGGGACGAAAGUCUGACCGAGCAACGCCGCGUGAGUGAAGAAGGUUUUUCGGGAUCGUAAAAAC